Molecule: long non-coding RNA, 387 nt
Filed under: Setaria viridis
Lineage: Eukaryota; Viridiplantae; Streptophyta; Magnoliopsida; Poales; Poaceae
Description: long non-coding RNA (SVIR_LNC009361)
Source: RNAcentral
GAAAACAACUUUUAACCGUGAGCUCCGAACAGGAAACGCGAACGGAAAAUAGGUAGAGGGAUUAUUUUUGGGAAAUUUGGAUAUAGAUCGGCGAAAGUAUUCUGGAGGAUGACGUGGUAAAAUUUGGGAUUAAUUGGAGGGAGUUUGGCGCAUGAAAUGACGGGUUAAUCAUUGAUUAGGGGCUUAAAUGGAGGUUUAGGGCUGAUUUUUAAUAAACCAGGGACCUAUUUGUAAUUUCUUUCGGAAGUGGAGGGGCUUAUGUGUAAUUUGGGGAAACUUGGGGGUCGGAUCUAAAAUCAAAGGCAAUCUUCUCCUUCUUCUCCAGGAACUUGGAGAUGGAGAGAGAGAGGGAGGGUGGGCCGGCGGCCGGCCGGCCGGGCGUCGCCG